This 460-nucleotide ribosomal RNA is filed under the name uncultured bacterium. Its description in RNAcentral is "partial 16S ribosomal RNA". It matches the Rfam family "Bacterial small subunit ribosomal RNA", at positions 338 to 795 of the family's 1533-position model. The record is from RNAcentral.
CCUACGGGUGGCAGCAGUGAGGAAUAUUGCACAAUGGGCGCAAGCCUGAAGCAGCCACGCCGCGUGAAGGAUGACUGACCUAGGGGUGGUAAACUCUGUUUAUAAAGGAAUAAAGUGAGGCACGUGAGCCUUUUUGUAUGUACUUUAUGAAUAAGGAUCGGCUAACUACGUGCCAGCAGCCGCGGUAAUACGGAGGAUCCGAGCGUUAUGCGGAUUUAUUGGGUUUAAAGGGAGCGUAGAUGGGUUGUUAAGUCAGUUGUGAAAGUUUGCGGCUCAACCGUAGAACUGCAAUUGAUACUGGCAGUCUUGAGUACAGUUGAGGUAGGCGGAAUUCGUGGUGUAGCGGUGAAAUGCGUAGAUAUCACGAAGAACACCGAUUGCGAAGGCAGCUUACUAAACUGCCACUGACAUUGAGGCUCGAAAGUGUGGGUAGCAAACAGGAUUAGAUACCCGGGUAGUC